Molecule: non-coding RNA, 46 nt
Filed under: Schistosoma curassoni
Lineage: Eukaryota; Metazoa; Platyhelminthes; Trematoda; Strigeidida; Schistosomatidae
Source: RNAcentral
CCACUGCUGAGGAGUCCCGUGCUAGGACGAAACAGCCGUCCAGUGC